UAUGUGACCCUCGUUCGCGGUUGCCCAACUUGAUCACUUUGUGAACUUUGGAAGCAUGCAACGUAGGAAAGAUAGUCAUAAGUUAGCCAUACGUUGCUGACUUGGACUUUUACGAUGUCUGCGAAUCUCCCUUAUGAGAUUAGCAAGUUUCAAGAACAUAUUCGCCUUCUAAAGAACAUCAAAAAAGACACAAGUAGAGCAUUCAAAGACCUGCACGAAUCCGGUCAGUAUUCUGACGAUGUUUUAUCGGCCUAUUUGCCAGAAGACCAAUAUCAAUUUUUGGACAGUGUGUGUGAAAAACCACCGACUAUUAUAGUCGUCGGUCAAACAUGCUUUUCUAAAGUGUGUGUUAUAAAUGAAUUGCUUGGAGAGCCAGUACUUCCAACUGUGGAAGACCUCGAAUGUGGCACUUCAUGGCGGAUGAUUCGGAUCAAGUAUGGCAAUAUUUCAAAUGUAAGUCUAGUUUUACCCGACAGUUUUGAACUGGCCGCCGCUCUAAAUGCCUACGAAGGUUGUUGGCAAUGUGUACCGAGGGAAGAUUUGGAAGUAACAGGGACAGAGAAAUCAGAUCCAGCUUUAGCUACUGCUGUAGCCGAGAUUUCUCUGAAUCAUCCACUUUUGAAAGCGGGAGCUCAGAUCGUGUGCUCUCCAAGCAAUGAUGAAGGCGAUGUAGAAAAUAUUUUCCGGGCUUGUUGUGAAGAUGUAUUACCUAUUCUUCUAUAUGCGAUAGAGUUUGAUACUCUUAGCGAAAAGGAUAAUGCAGAGUUGCUUCAAGUAAAGGCAUUGGCUCCAGAUUUACCAGUAUUUUUUGUCAAGUGCUGCAGAAAAGCACCUCAACUCACUGAAUCAAUGACUGAAUCAGAGCAGCAUGAAGCUGUCUAUGAAAUAACAGAAUCCAAAACAAAAAUCUAUGAACAGCUCUGUGAUAUAGGUUACUUAACACCAGAGUUAAGUGACAAGAAGGAUAAUCUACAUUUAGAUAAUAGUGAAGAUAAGUCCUCACUAAGAGCAAUUGUGGAUUCUGUUCGACCCAAGUCAACCAUGAUUGAAAACUUUUCAUUAUUUCCAUGUUUCUUACUCUUUGUUCGUCAAGUUUUACAAUAUCAUUUAGUGACAGCUUCGUCAGCUUUAAAUGAAGCUCAUUCUAGAGUGUUGUCGCUAUUUAUCACUACGGCAUUUGACAUGGCAAGGGACAUGAUCAUCACGCCAAGAAGAUUGGAGUACGCUAAGGAAAAAGAAGAAGAGUUGUUUAAAGCUCUCAUGGAAACUGCCAGUAGAAAACAAGACGAAAUCAAGGAAGUCAUACACAAUACGAUUACAACUCUAUCACCUCAAAUCCUAAAAGAAGUAGGGUUACUAGAAUUCAAAAACAUUGAUCUAACUAGUGAUGAAGAGCUUGUGAACCUCAAAGAUCUAGACAAUUGCAUAUCUCAAAUUCAAGAGCUUGUUAUGGGAAGGAUAAACAAGGCUGUUGCAGGAAAUUUAAUCAGCUCAGUGGAGUAUCUUCGAGAGAGUUUUGUCGGUACAUUACAAAGGUGCAUUGAUAGCCUUGAGAAGAUGGAUCUUGAGGGUUCUUGGGCAAAGGACGAUUCAUGUACUUCAGCUACUUCAGCUCUCAAACAUGUAAUAGAUGCUGCAUACCAAGUUGAAGUCACGGUAAGAGCUAGUUCUUCUCUUGCACGGCUUCUCUGGGAGAAAAUGAAGCAAGCUCUGCAGACUCUACCUGGCAAAGCACCACCAAAGGUUGAUAGUUCAUGGAAACAGAAAGUUGCUCAAGACAUGCUUACAAGCCUCAGCGAGACUAGACUAGCAAAGCAUAUAUGCUCACAGUUUAAGUUAAGAUUACAUAAAUCACAUGAAGCAUUUACGACUUCCAUAAGGGUUCUUGAAGCCAACCAUACAGGACGGCUAGAGAAAACAGAAGAACAACGUAUGCGAGUAAGGAAGUGUUUUGCACCCAAGGUGGCUCGUCUGGCAUUAGAGAGCUUGUCACUUAGAGAUGUAGUGCUGUAUGGUAUGCCACAGCUUGGUAGAGAAGUAGGGCGUGGUCAGUAUGGGGUGGUAUAUUCUUGUGAAAGAUGGGCAGGCCGUCACCCAUGUGCCAUUAAGUCUGUUGUUCCCCCAGAUGACAAGCAUUGGAAUGAUCUCGCUCUUGAGUUCUACUAUACCAGGUCUUUAGCUCGUCACGAUCGUUUAGUAUCCAUUAUCGGGUCUGUUAUUGACUACAGCUAUGGCGGUGGCUCUUCACCUGCAGUCUUACUAGUAAUGGACCGCUUACAGCGUGACUUGUACCAAGGAAUCAAGAGUGGCCUAAGUUAUCGUGCUCGUCUACAAGUAGCUGUGGAUGUGGUCGAGGGAAUACGAUUUCUACAUAGUCAAGGAUUGGUCCAUAGAGAUAUUAAGCUGAAAAAUGUUCUCCUUGAUUCAAGAAAUCGCGGCAAGAUAACAGAUCUUGGUUUCUGUAAACCGGAAGCCAUGAUGUCAGGCUCCAUCGUAGGCACACCUAUCCACAUGGCACCCGAACUGUUCUCUGGUCGCUAUGACAACAGUGUUGAUGUUUACGCCUUUGGCAUUUUAUUCUGGUAUAUAUGUGCGGGCACAGUACGGCUCCCCCUGGCCUUUGAACAGUGCGCAAGCAAAGACCAUCUAUGGAAUGCCGUACGCCGGGGGGUUCGGCCUGAGCGUCUGGCUCAUUUUGACGAUGAAUGCUGGUUUUUGAUGGAGUCGUGUUGGAGUGGUGAUUCUUUCCAACGACCUUUGCUAGGGAAUAUACACCCACAGUUGGUAGUUCUUCUUCGAAGACAGGAAGCGAAGAGCAGUUCAAUGGCGCGACAAAGAAGGAGUGAACAAAGAAAGGAGCCUAAAUAGAGUAAAUUUUGUAUAGUAUUUUGGACGUUUUUUCUUUUGUAAAUUGAUAAAAUCGCGUUACAAGUCGUUUUACAAUAUCGUUUCACAAUUUAUAUCAAAGCUUUUCAAGGAAUUGUUGGAAUUAUUCCACGACGCGAUAAGACUACAAUGUUAGUGAGAUACCUCUUAAUGAAACACGAUAAGUGUCUCUCUCCUGCGAAACGUCGGUCACAUGCCUUCAGGAACAUAGUUACACCAGUACAUUGCUUCUAAUGUGAAGAAUGUGCAACGUGCAGCGACGCCAUUUUGUACAGCAAAGCAUGAUGGGAGUUGGCCAUGACUGCUAAAAUGCGACUAUACAAAAAAAAAAUGCAAACUCAAAUCUCUUUUUUUUACAAAAUGGCCUGGUUGAACAUUUCAGUUUUCUUAUUGACCAUUAAAACUAUGUCACUUGGGGAAAAUUUACGGCGCUAAGUUAUUGAAAUGCGAUCCCGGAAGAGUCAAAAAUUAGAAGCAAAUGUGUCCAAGAGAUUCAGUAUGAUUACCGUCAAAGAUUUCUUUUUAGAUACAAAUCAUUGUGUGAAUUUUAUGGCAUCGCAUUUCACUGAAAAAAAGAUAAGACAAAACAAUUGAGACGCCCUGAAGCAGCAGUUUAAACACGCGGAGUAAUAUUAAAAUCGACAUUUUGUGACUUUAAGGAAAGAUGACUCGGACUUUGUACAGUUUUCACAGUAANGAUGAAUAUUUUUGUAAGCAAUCAGUGCACAUUGAAUUAGAAUUAUUUAAUUAAAAAUCUUGAUUGAUU
RNAcentral lists this unclassified non-coding RNA (3652 nucleotides) under Exaiptasia diaphana. RNAcentral describes it as "dual serine/threonine and tyrosine protein kinase, transcript variant X1". Lineage: Eukaryota; Metazoa; Cnidaria; Anthozoa; Actiniaria; Aiptasiidae. The record is from RNAcentral.